UACGGGGGGGGCAAGCGUUGUUCGGAAUUACUGGGCGUAAAGGGCGCGUAGGCGGCCCGCUAAGUCGAACGUGAAAUCCCUGGGCUCAACCCAGGAACUGCGUCCGAUACUGGCAGGCUUGAAUCCGGGAGAGGGAUGUGGAAUUCCAGGUGUAGCGGUGAAAUGCGUAGAUAUCUGGAGGAACACCGGUAGCGAAGGCGGCACCCUGGGCCGAUACUGACACUGAGGAGCGAAAGCGUGGGGAGCGAACAGG
RNAcentral lists this ribosomal RNA (253 nucleotides) under uncultured bacterium. RNAcentral describes it as "partial 16S ribosomal RNA". It matches the Rfam family "Bacterial small subunit ribosomal RNA", at positions 524 to 776 of the family's 1533-position model. The record is from RNAcentral.